AACGGAAAGGCCCUGCUUGCAGGGUACUCGAGUGGCGAACGGGUGAGUAACACGUGGGUGAUCUGCCCUGCACUUCGGGAUAAGCUUGGGAAACUGGGUCUAAUACCGGAUAGGAGCCAUCUUUAGUGUGGUGGUUGGAAAGUUUUUUCGGUGUAGGAUGAGCUCGCGGCCUAUCAGCUUGUUGGUGGGGUAAUGGCCUACCAAGGCGGCGACGGGUAGCCGGCCUGAGAGGGUGUACGGCCACAUUGGGACUGAGAUACGGCCCAGACUCCUACGGGAGGCAGCAGUGGGGAAUAUUGCACAAUGGGCGCAAGCUUGAUGCAGCGACGCCGCGUGGGGGAUGAAGGCCUUCGGGUUGUAAACUCCUUUCGCUAGGGACGAAGCUUUUUUGUGACGGUACCUAGAUAAGAAGCACCGGCUAACUACGUGCCAGCAGCCGCGGUAAUACGUAGGGUGCGAGCGUUGUCCGGAAUUACUGGGCGUAAAGGGCUCGUAGGUGGUUUGUCGCGUCGUCUGUGAAAUUCUGGGGCUUAACUCCGGGCGUGCAGGCGAUACGGGCAUAACUUGAGUGCUGUAGGGGUAACUGGAAUUCCUGGUGUAGCGGUGAAAUGCGCAGAUAUCAGGAGGAACACCGAUGGCGAAGGCAGGUUACUGGGCAGUUACUGACGCUGAGGAGCGAAAGCAUGGGUAGCGAACAGGAUUAGAUACCCUGGU
RNAcentral lists this ribosomal RNA (714 nucleotides) under uncultured Corynebacterium sp. RNAcentral describes it as "bacterial SSU rRNA". It matches the Rfam family "Bacterial small subunit ribosomal RNA", at positions 65 to 791 of the family's 1533-position model. Lineage: Bacteria; Bacillati; Actinomycetota; Actinomycetes; Mycobacteriales; Corynebacteriaceae. The record is from RNAcentral.